Molecule: long non-coding RNA, 206 nt
Filed under: Salvia miltiorrhiza (redroot sage)
Lineage: Eukaryota; Viridiplantae; Streptophyta; Magnoliopsida; Lamiales; Lamiaceae
Description: long non-coding RNA (SMIL_LNC000883)
Source: RNAcentral
UUUUUACAAUGUAUUUUUAUUUUGUUUUGUUUGUAUUUUCUUUUUAUUUUUUCAUUAUUCCAAAGUAUUAUAACUGUGGUGGGCAAAUUUCGUAUAGCCCGUUUGAAUAAAUAUUCGCGGCCCAAACAUCUAGCCCGGUACUUUAGGUCAUUAAGGCCCAUCGACCCAAACCCUAGAAAAGGCAGCAACUUGGGGGAGAAGGCAAG